AACGUCAACAGAAGGAUUUAAACUACUUGAAACACCAGCAAAGAAUGGUUCCGAAGAUGAAAAUGUUGAUAACUCAAAUCUGCCACAACCGCCUACCGAAGCACAGGAAGGAAUCGUGAACAGGUCUGACGAAAGGAAAAUUAGCGAUGGAGAAAUCAUAGCAUUAGCCAAAAAAAUGCCCCAUGGCAAUUACACCGAAUUUGGCGUAGCUUUGGGAUUUGACAUCAACUACUCUAAGAACAUCUUAACCAAAUAUCAAUCAAAUUAUAUUGAUGCGUUUGAAGAAAUAUUGAAAAAUUGGAGUACAAAGACAGGUGGUUUUACACAAAAACUUGAUGACGCUCUAUUGAAAGCCGACCUCGGAGGACUAAGAUAUGAGUGCAAGUCAGAUGUAGACUAACAGCCUCAACUUGUACAACAUAUCGUAUGAUUUACAUGAUACAACAUAGCAUUAAUGAUGAUGUUACAAUGUUCGUGACAAUUGCAGACCGAUCUGGGUACUACUUAUGCCCUUAUUACCUUCACCAUGGACAAUAAUCCACUAUCCUUUAUUUUAUGACGUCAUUACUCAUUUCUCCACUAUUAAAAGAGGAAAAUUAAAUCCUUCCUCUUAUUGUUUUAUUGUUAAGCUUGUUUCUCGUUCAGGUCAUAAUCCUUAACGUUGGUACGAUAUCCUAACAUUUUCAUAGUUUAAGCAAAUUCAACCACAAAUACAAUUUUUUUAAAACAAUGUUGAUCGGUGAAGUGUGCAUGGAUUAAUGUAACAAAUGCUUCAUUUGAAAGCGUAUUGCCUCUACUGUAUGAAAACAAGAAAACAUAAAAUGUCAC
This is a long non-coding RNA of Strongylocentrotus purpuratus (purple sea urchin), 828 nucleotides long. RefSeq lists it as uncharacterized. The record is from RefSeq and is a predicted model, not a curated record. NCBI's taxonomy places the organism in Eukaryota, Metazoa, Echinodermata, Echinoidea, Camarodonta, Strongylocentrotidae. The transcript has 3 exons.